ACUCAUGUGUUCCCAAGAAUGUAUUUUAUGCUGAACAUUCGAAAAGCCACUUCCUGGAAGAACCCCACAGCUCACACCAAGAUCCCCAUCCAGGGUGUCAGGGGCACAAUCUGAGCUCUCUGGAAGAAUUUCUCCAAUUUUUUUCCAAAUGUAUUUCAGCCUGUGUAACCACUGUUCCUCGAAAUGGCCUUCGAGAAAUGCUGAACUAUAAAUGCAGUCACAAAGAAAAGGGCACACAGCAAUACUCAAGAGAUGGGAGAGGCUUCUGGUAAGACAAGGCUACCAGUGAAAAGUCAGCAGUCUACAACCUGGAAGAGGGCCCUCCCAAUCCAACCAUCUGAGCACCCUGACAUUGGAUUUCUAGUCUCCAGGUUAAUGUUCCCAAAGCAGGAGGACAGAUGACAGAAGAUUCUUCUCUGGAGGAACCUAAGGGCCUGAUAAAUGCCUGCAUGUAUUUACAUUUGGUGAUUCUUCCCUUAAAAAGGCUGGAUUUUCAUUUUAUCAUCUUACAGUAAAGCCCACUAUUUUUUUCUGUCCGUCAUCACUCUUGCCCAGUGAGACCAAAUCAGGCUUUUAUUACCGCACCUUUAAAGCUGAAUAACUGCUUAAAGCUUGGCAAAAAUUUAAGAAAAGCCUCUAUCAUGAAAGAGAAAACCAAAACCAAAAUAAAUAAAGAAAACAAAAAACCAGGAAUAGGGACACUGAAGAAAACAGAGAUAAUGAAGGGAAACAGAAUAAAAUGUAAAAAUCAGAUAUUUAAUAUACUUGCAAGAGAAGAGAUGUUAUUGCAUCUAUUAAGCUAUAUUACACUACUAUUAAAAAGGAAAUAAGAUUGUGGAUAAAAUGAGAGUUCCUGUGGCCAGGAUUCUCACCUGGCCAUGGUUGAUUAGCUCACUACACACCUGUGGGCAAUACAUGGCUGUUGAAUCUAUAAAAAGAGACCCACCCAGUAUUCUGGGCACAACACAGUGGCAGGGCUGCAAGGCUGCAGGAGAGCAGAGCAGAGCAGAGCAGAGGCUGGAG
Manis javanica (Malayan pangolin) is the source of this 1023-nucleotide long non-coding RNA. RefSeq lists it as uncharacterized. The record is from RefSeq and is a predicted model, not a curated record. Lineage: Eukaryota; Metazoa; Chordata; Mammalia; Pholidota; Manidae.